RNAcentral lists this ribosomal RNA (465 nucleotides) under uncultured bacterium. Its description in RNAcentral is "partial 16S ribosomal RNA". It matches the Rfam family "Bacterial small subunit ribosomal RNA", at positions 28 to 507 of the family's 1533-position model. The record is from RNAcentral.
GACGAACGCUGGCGGCGUGCUUAACACAUGCAAGUCGAACGGAAAGGCCCUGCUUGCAGGGUACUCGAGUGGCGAACGGGUGAGUAACACGUGGGUGAUCCGCCCUGCACUUCGGGAUAAGCCUGGGAAACUGGGUCUAAUACCGGAUAGGAGCCAUUUUUAGUGUGAUGGUUGGAAAGUUUUUUCGGUGUAGGAUGAGCUCGCGGCCUAUCAGCUUGUUGGUGGGGUAAUGGCCUACCAAGGCGGCGACGGGUAGCCGGCCUGAGAGGGUGGACGGCCACAUUGGGACUGAGCUACGGCCCAGACUCCUACGGGAGGCAGCAGUGGGGAAUAUUGCACAAUGGGCGCGAGCCUGAUGCAGCGACGCCGCGUGGGGGAUGACGGCCUUCGGGUUGUAAACUCCUUUCGCUAGGGACGAAGCUUUUUGUGACGGUACCUAGAGAAGAAGCACCGGCUAUCUACGUG